RNAcentral lists this transfer RNA (77 nucleotides) under Candidatus Shapirobacteria bacterium. Its description in RNAcentral is "tRNA-Pro". It matches the Rfam family "tRNA". From Rfam's summary of the family: Transfer RNA (tRNA) molecules are approximately 80 nucleotides in length. Their secondary structure includes four short double-helical elements and three loops (D, anti-codon, and T loops). Further hydrogen bonds mediate the characteristic L-shaped molecular structure. tRNAs have two regions of fundamental functional importance: the anti-codon, which is responsible for specific mRNA codon recognition, and the 3' end, to which the tRNAs corresponding amino acid is attached (by aminoacyl-tRNA synthetases). tRNAs cope with the degeneracy of the genetic code in two manners: having more than one tRNA (with a specific anti-codon) for a particular amino acid; and 'wobble' base-pairing, i.e. permitting non-standard base-pairing at the 3rd anti-codon position. Lineage: Bacteria; Candidatus Shapironibacteriota. The record is from RNAcentral.
CGGGGUGUAGCUCAGUUGGUUAGAGUGCGCGCUUUGGGAGCGUGAGGUCGUGAGUUCGAGUCUCACCACCCCGACAA